UUAAGUUCAGCGGGUAGUCCUACCUGAUUUGAGGUCAAGAUGGUCAAUACAAGUAAGGUUUAGAAAGCAGCAUUCCAGCAGAUGUCUAGGAUGUAAAUAAUUAUCACAACCUGUAGACAGUUCCACAAAGGCACCACUAAUCAAUUUCAGGGGAGCAGACUAUACAAAAGCCCACACCACCAAAUCCAAGCCACACUAAG
This 200-nucleotide unclassified non-coding RNA is filed under the name Inocybe sp. RNAcentral's name for it is "partial internal transcribed spacer 2". Lineage: Eukaryota; Fungi; Basidiomycota; Agaricomycetes; Agaricales; Inocybaceae. The record is from RNAcentral.